RNAcentral lists this ribosomal RNA (561 nucleotides) under Aspergillus heterothallicus. It matches the Rfam family "Bacterial small subunit ribosomal RNA", at positions 284 to 885 of the family's 1533-position model. The record is from RNAcentral. Lineage: Eukaryota; Fungi; Ascomycota; Eurotiomycetes; Eurotiales; Aspergillaceae.
UAGUCGUGACUGAGAGGUCGAUCGACCACAUUGGGUCUGAAAAAACCCCAAUGCGUUUUAGUACAGCAGUGAGGAAUAUUGGUCAAUGGCCGAAAGGCUGAACCAGUAACUUGGAAGAAUGAAAGUGUAUUAUAAUAAUACAAUAACGAUUAAGUCGUAUAAAAUUCUAAAUAGAAUAAUGAUAAUGACAAUUUUCUAUUUAUAAGUCUUGACCAAACUACGUGCCAGCAGUCGCGGUAAUACGUAGAAGACUAGUGUUAAUCAUCUUUAUUAGGUUUAAAGGGUACCUAGACGGNAAAUUACACUCUNNAUGAGUACUUUUUUACUAGAGUUUUAUGUNAGANGGAAGAAUUUCUGGAGUAGUGAUAUUAUAUGAUACCAGAGAGACAGGUAACGGCGAAGGCAACCUUCCAUGUAAAAACUGACGUUGAGGGACGAAGGCUUGGGUAGCGAAAAGGAUUAGAUACCCUUGUAGUCCAAGCAGACAAUGAUGAAUGCCAUAGACUAGAUAUAUAUUUAGUUUAUAAAUGAAAGUGUAAGCAUUCCACCUCAAGAGUAAUA